RNAcentral lists this ribosomal RNA (622 nucleotides) under uncultured bacterium. RNAcentral's name for it is "bacterial SSU rRNA". It matches the Rfam family "Bacterial small subunit ribosomal RNA", at positions 539 to 1162 of the family's 1533-position model. The record is from RNAcentral.
CGUUAUCGGAAUCACUGGGCGUAAAGCGCGCGCAGGCGGCUAUUUAAGUUGGAUGUGAAAGCCUACGGCUCAACCGUAGAACUGCAUCCAAAACUAUUUAGCUAGAGUGUGGGAGAGGAAGAUGGAAUUAGUUGUGUAGGGGUAAAAUCCGUAGAGAUAACUAGGAAUACCAAAAGCGAAGGCAAUCUUCUGGAACACUACUGACGCUGAGGCGCGAAAGCGUGGGGAGCAAACAGGAUUAGAUACCCUGGUAGUCCACGCAGUAAACGAUGAAUGUUAGUCGUCGGGUAGCUAGUCUAUUCGGUGAUGCAGCUAACGCAUUAAACAUUCCGCCUGGGGAGUACGGUCGCAAGAUUAAAACUCAAAGGAAUAGACGGGGACCCGCACAAGUGGUGGAGCAUGUGGUUUAAUUCGAAGAUACGCGAAGAACCUUACCUAGCCUUGACAUAUAUUAGAACUCCGCAGAGACGCAGAGGUGCCUUCGGGAGCUUUUAUACAGGUGCUGCACGGCUGUCGUCAGCUCGUGUCGUGAGAUGUUGGGUUAAGUCCCGCAACGAGCGCAACCCUCGUCACUAGUUACUAACGGUUCGGCCGAGGACUCUAGUGAGACUGCCUUCGUAAG